Molecule: non-coding RNA, 284 nt
Organism: Maylandia zebra (zebra mbuna)
Lineage: Eukaryota; Metazoa; Chordata; Actinopteri; Cichliformes; Cichlidae
Source: RefSeq, a predicted model, not a curated record
UUGCAGUGUGAGAAUUUCCCUCACAUUUAUCCAAUACCAAGCCAAAUCACUGGAAAAAUUUUGGAUGGGUCCACAAGAGCACAAAGUGCAUACUUUUUGAAGAAAAACAUCUUUCAGAUGUAUGAGAAAUUGAUUGGAGCCUGUCUGGAAAAUGGCAGCCACUGGACCUUGUUUGUAAGUUGCACAGAUUUUGCACUCUCUCUAGUGCAUGAUACUUUUCAGUGUCCCUCAUUAGGAAAGCUCAAGGCCCAAGCCUACCAUAUCCAUCUUUUUACAAAACAGUU